CCCUCACUUUCGAUCAGUUGUUGCUCCACGAGAUAAACGUUGGACGCAAGACAUGGGUUCCUGUGUUGCAUACCUAUYGCGACGGAAAUGUGUGCCUUCGAUCGUCCCUUCCAUCACGGCGUCCUCACGGAUGCUCGGUUGGACCGGAUAGUGGGGCUCGUGUUCCACGGACGUCGUCUCAUUCGACCGUUCGGAUGGACCACGGGUGCCCACUCGUUCUCUCGGAUGCGGAAMUCUGUUAAAUGGGCGUGGGGUCAUUGGCCCUUGGUCCCUAAUCGUUAAGCGUUUAUCGCUUCRCCGGAAUGACGAUCUCGCCUUGUCCUUGACCGCGCGAAGCCCUCGGGCAUCGCGACGGAUCAUGCUCGGCGGACGUCGUGAAGGAAUGC
RNAcentral lists this unclassified non-coding RNA (386 nucleotides) under Eucalyptus cloeziana (gympie messmate). RNAcentral describes it as "partial external transcribed spacer". Lineage: Eukaryota; Viridiplantae; Streptophyta; Magnoliopsida; Myrtales; Myrtaceae. The record is from RNAcentral.